RNAcentral lists this long non-coding RNA (3424 nucleotides) under Homo sapiens (human). RNAcentral's name for it is "non-protein coding lnc-DOCK7-7:1". Lineage: Eukaryota; Metazoa; Chordata; Mammalia; Primates; Hominidae. The record is from RNAcentral.
GGAGCGCCGGUCUCUAGGCCUCCUGUGAAAUGGGUGGAGCCUUACUGAUUUACUCUCCCCUUCGGAAUCCUAUCCACUGUAAAAAGAGGCCCGCAACUCCUCCUCUAAGUGUUGGGGCAGAGGUUGGGGUAGGAACCCGGUCAUAGGGCAAGGACGUGAGGCAGGGUGGAAAAAAGUACAGGGUAGAAUGAUUUCCAGUGGUUUGGCGAAUGCAUCGUGUGUAAAUAGCUUUCUGGAAACCUGUUGGGAGGGUCAGAAGUGCCAGCCCCAGCUCGAUUUCAUGAGUCGUAAUUCUUUCUAUUUCUCCCUAAAUGUGAGGGCAUUUGAGUUCCGUAAAGGAGUCGACUCCAAAUGUUUCCUGCUGCACCACACACUUGACUACCAUUGGUGACGGUGACUUAGCUAUGACUUGCUGAGUGUAGCGUUUCUAAACCUUACUAAACUCUGGGUUUUAUUUUUCCCCUUUUUAUGCUUACAAAACUGAAAUUCAAAGAAUAAAAUGCCUUGUCUCAUUGCCACACAGCUAAGUCCAUGCGGGAGGCCAAUUCAGGUGGUCUGGCUCCAAAACCAGGGCUCUUCCCAUGAUUUGCCCGCUGUGACACCAGGUUGGCAACUAGGAAAUGUACAAGCAGGACUUGACAAAUGUAGGAGCAAAUAUAUGGUAAGGAUAAGUAUGAACACCAUCAAAAUUAGCCAGUUACUCAUGUAAUAGAAAUAAAGUGAGGAGAUCAACAAACAAGGACUGACAUGGCUGGAAAAGUUUCACGGGGGAUAGCAAGGUCAACCAAGGGGAUUUGAUUAUUAAGUAGGAAUCUUCAGUCUUUCUUGCUUUUCGGUUUAGUAUCUCCCUUAAUUUGAUGAGAGUGAUUGUCUCCUCUGUUCAAGAAACCUGUCAUUUUGGUAAAGUGGCAAAAAACUUGGCUUUACAAGGUGUGUGCUCUUGGGAAAGUUAGUUAAUGUCCGUGGGCAUCAAUUUCCUUACUGUAAAAUAAACAUAUCACCUACUUUGGAAUAUUUUUGCAAGAUUUAAUGGGGUUUUGUAUGUCAGAAAUUCUCAGUCAUGGAUACACAGUAGAAUCCUACUGUGACCCAUGCUCACAGUAGAAUUACUUGAGGUGGUUUCUAAAUGACCCAGUCCAAACAAAUUCAAUCAUAAUCAGCUGUUAGAAGUAAAUCAUCUAGCCUGGUGCCUGAAACAUAGAGGCCUUCAAAAAUAUUAGCUCCCCUUCCCCAAUUCCAAAACCAGAGCAUAUCAUUCACCUGUGAAUUAUAUUCUUUUGGUAGUUAAUUGGUAUGUCUUGAUCAAGCAGGGAGGCGAACAGACCCAUAAGAGUGCAGACUCUCACAAACCAAGUGUUGAUAUACAUGCUCAUAUAGUACAUGCUAUGUAGAUACAGUGUGUUGAUGUAGUCACUAUAGAUGAGUUUCGGUGGCAAAUAUUAUGUGAAAACGGAACCCUGGACUGCUAGUAAUGAGUUCUAAUAUUUGCACAGGAGUUUACAGAGCAGUGUAAUCUUGUGAAUUAAAUAAUAUAAUCAAGCCCAUUUUAUAGACGAGAGAAUUGAGGAUUGGAUGGUGAAUGUAAUCAAGGUUAUCUAACUCCACAAAAUGAAAAUAUAGCAUAGAUUCACUGAGCCUUCAAAAUACCUACCUUAGAGUUGUAUGGUUUAGAUAGAGAAUAUACAGCUCCUACCACAGUGCUAAUAAGUAAGUCAUCAAUAAAUGAUAACUUGUAAAGUCACGGGCCCAAAUUCAGAUCUCAUGCCCUUUCUAUAUUCUUCAGUAUCUUUGGAAAUAUGAUGGAGCUUUUCAUUUAAGAGGAAUUGAUCUAUACUUCUCUCACCCCAGAAGUUGUAACAAUUAGCUUUAACUGCAUAACACACCAGUCUAAAUCUGAGUGGCUUAAGACAACCCCCAUUCAUGAUUAUAGUUCAUGAUUCUAUGAGUUAACUGGCAGUUCUGCUGUUCUGGACAGGGUUACUGUGGCCCCUUAUACAGACCUAACAUGAUCCCCAUGUUCCUUGCCUCCUGAUAAUCAUGCCUUUAUGCAAUCCCCUUGUAUUACAGAUUGAGUAUCCCUUAUCCGAAAUGUUUGGUACCAGAAAUGUUUCAGAUUUUAGAUUGUUCCGGAUUUUGGAAUGUUUGCAUUACAAUGGUUGUGCAUCCCAAAUCCAAAAAUCCCAAAUUCAGAAUGUUCCAAUGAGCACUUCCUUUGAGUGUCAUGUUGGCACUCAAAAAGUUUUGGAUUUUGGAGCAUUUUGGGUUUGGGAUUUUUGGAUUUGGGAUACUCAACCCGUACUUUUCUACUGCUGUAUGACAAAUUACCACAAACUCAACAGCUGAAAACAACACCCAUUUAUGAUGUCACAAUUCUAUAGAUAAGAAGUCCCAAUUCUAUAGAUCAAAAGGUUUGGCCAGGUUCAAUCCUGGUAAUCACGGAUAUAUAACAGCUUAUAAACAUCAAGGAGAAAGUAUUUUGACCUUCAUUAAAUUCUUUUUAAGGCAAGCAUACCUGUUUAAACUGAUUUGUCUAUAGCCAGUUGGUUUAAUUUCAUUGAAUUCUUCCCAGAGCCUCAAGAUAAGAACCCACCCAAGCUUGGUGCGUUCUUAUCUGGAGCCUCUGGGAAGAACACCUUGAUUUGAAGUCAAGAGCCAAGCUGGCUUCUUAUCUGGAGGCUCUGGGAAGAAUUUCUUUCAAGUGUUAAAGAUAAAUAAAAAUAGAGGCUCCAGUUUAGAUAUUUUAAGUCCAACCACCCAUAGCCAGGUAGCCAAAACUUAAGUCAUCCUUAUUUCCCUGAAACACUUGCUCUAGACAUAAACAAAACACAAAAUGUCCUUGACAGUGUGAGUCAAUGAAAUUAAACCAAUCAGCUAUAGACAAAUCAGCUUAACAGCUCUACUCGCCUUAAAAAGAAUGUAACGAAGGUCAAAAUACUUCUUCCUCAAUGUUUAUAAGCUGUACUGUAACUGCUGUGAGCUGGGCUUCUUGCCACUUUUGGUUAGAUGUCUUCCAGUUUGUAAACUGUUCUUUGUAUGCAUGCUAAACUUUUAAAAAUUUUUAAAGUUUGAUCUGAUUUUAACACAGCGCAUUCAGAUUGCUGGCAGGAUCUAUUUCCUUGCAGUUGUAGGAUUGAGGUCCCCAUUUCUUAGAUUAGACCUACCUGGAUAAUCUCCCUUUGUAACGUGUUCAUAGGAGUAAUGUAUCAUCGUAUUCACAGGUUCUACCCACGUUCAAAAAUUGACUUGCAGAGAUUUCCAAGUUGUAGUAUUUAUGAAAAGCAAGAGAAGGAGUCUUAUUCCCCUGUGGGUAGCACUGAAAUCGGGAAAGAAGCCAUUGGAAAUAUACCAAGAUAUGCAACAAUGAUUACCACUGAGUUGCAAGAUAGGGCAAUGUUUAUUUUCUUUAUAUUUUAUCUGGAUUUUC